RNAcentral lists this unclassified non-coding RNA (404 nucleotides) under soil metagenome. Its description in RNAcentral is "partial contains 5.8S ribosomal RNA, internal transcribed spacer 2, and large subunit ribosomal RNA". The stretch from base 1 to 120 matches the Rfam family "5.8S ribosomal RNA", at positions 35 to 154 of the family's 154-position model. The record is from RNAcentral.
GAUGAAGAACGUAGCGAAAUGCGAUAAGUAAUGUGAAUUGCAGAAUUCAGUGAAUCAUCGAAUCUUUGAACGCACCUUGCGCCCUUUGGACUUCUGAAGGGCAUGCCUGUUUGAGUAUCAUGAACACCUCAACUCCUUAUGGUCUUCCAUGAUGAGCUUGGACUUUGGGGGUUUUGCUGGCCUACAGUCAGCUCCUCUAAAAUAAAUCAGCUUACCGGUGUUUGGUGGGUAUCAUGGGUGUGAUAACUAUCUACGCUUGUGGUUUUCCACCAGGGUAACCUUCAGCAGUGGAGGUUCACUGGAGCUUACAAAUGUCUCUCCUCCGUGAGGACAGCCCUUUGAAUGUUUGAUCUCAAAUCAGGUAGGACUACCCGCUGAACUUAAGCAUAUCAAUAAGCGGAGGA